UACGAACGGUCCAAGCGUUGCGCGGAAUUACUGGGCUUAAAGGGUGCGUAGGCGGGCGCGCAAGUGUCUUGUGAAAGCCCACGGCUCAACCGUGGAACCGCAGGGCAUACUGCGCGUCUUGAGGCCGGUAGAGGCUGCCGGAACUCUAGGUGUAGCGGUGAAAUGCGUAGAUAUCUAGAGGAACGCCAAUGGUGAAGACAGGCAGCUGGACCGGUUCUGACGCUGAGGCACGAAAGCGUGGGUAGCGAACAGG
This 253-nucleotide unclassified non-coding RNA is filed under the name uncultured Phycisphaeraceae bacterium. RNAcentral describes it as "contains 16S-23S intergenic spacer region". It matches the Rfam family "Bacterial small subunit ribosomal RNA", at positions 524 to 776 of the family's 1533-position model. The record is from RNAcentral. Lineage: Bacteria; Pseudomonadati; Planctomycetota; Phycisphaerae; Phycisphaerales; Phycisphaeraceae.